UNCAAGUGGAAGUGCCUGUGAAGGUUACACUC
This 32-nucleotide non-coding RNA is filed under the name Mus musculus (house mouse). Lineage: Eukaryota; Metazoa; Chordata; Mammalia; Rodentia; Muridae. The record is from RNAcentral.